GACGAACGCUGGCGGCGUGCUUAACACAUGCAAGUCGAACGGAAAGGCCCUGCUUUUGUGGGGUGCUCGAGUGGCGAACGGGUGAGUAACACGUGAGUAACCUGCCCUUGACUUUGGGAUAACUUCAGGAAACUGGGGCUAAUACCGGAUAGGAGCUCCUGCUGCAUGGUGGGGGUUGGAAAGUUUCGGCGGUUGGGGAUGGACUCGCGGCUUAUCAGCUUGUUGGUGGGGUAGUGGCUUACCAAGGCUUUGGCAGGUAGCCGGCCUGAGAGGGUGACCGGCCACAGUGGGACUGAGGUACGGGCCAGACUCCAAUGGGAGGCAACAGGGGGGAAUAUUGCACAAUGGGCGGAAGCCUGAUGCAGCAACGCUGGGUGCGGGAUGACGGCCUUCGGGUUGAAAACCGCUUUAGCCUGUGACGAAGCGGUAGUGACGGUAAUGAGUAAAGAAGCACCGGCUAACUACGUG
Molecule: ribosomal RNA, 468 nt
Filed under: uncultured bacterium
Lineage: Bacteria
Description: partial 16S ribosomal RNA
Rfam family: Bacterial small subunit ribosomal RNA
Source: RNAcentral